AGCUCCAAUAGCGUAUAUUAAAGUUGUUGCAGUUAAAAAGCUCGUAGUUGAAUUUCUGUACAUUCUCAGUUCUGGCUUCGGUCAAGCUGUUGAAUGUGCAUCCGCUUGCAAACUUAGACCGGCCUUCACUGGUCGACUAAGGGAGUAAGCCCUUUACUUUGAAAAAAUUAGAGUGUUUCAGGCAGGCAAUGGCUCGAAUACAUUAGCAUGGAAUAAUGGAAUAGGACUUUUGUCCAUUUGGUUGGUUAUUGGACAUAAGUAAUGAUUAAAAGGGACAGUUGGGGGCAUUAGUAUUUAAUUGUCAGAGGUGAAAUUCUUGGAUUUAUUAAAGACUAACUUAUGCGAAAGCAUUUGCCAAGGAUGUUUUCA
RNAcentral lists this ribosomal RNA (369 nucleotides) under uncultured eukaryote. RNAcentral describes it as "SSU rRNA". It matches the Rfam family "Eukaryotic small subunit ribosomal RNA", at positions 587 to 972 of the family's 1831-position model. The record is from RNAcentral.